Molecule: long non-coding RNA, 2195 nt
Filed under: Pan troglodytes (chimpanzee)
Lineage: Eukaryota; Metazoa; Chordata; Mammalia; Primates; Hominidae
Description: long non-coding RNA NONPTRT002058
Source: RNAcentral
UCUCCAUCUGUUGCCCAGGCUGGAGUGCAGUGGUGCGAUCUCGGCUCACUGCAACCUCCGCCACCUGGGUUCAAGUGAUUUUCCUGCCUCAGCCUCCGGAGCAGCUGGGAUUACAGGCACGCGUCACCACACCUGGCUAAUUUUUGUAUUUUUCGUAGAGACAGAGUUUCACCAUGUUGGCCAGGCUGGUCUCCAAAUCCUGACCUCAGAUGAUCCACCCACCUGGGACUCCCAAAGUGCUGGGAUGACAGACAGGCGUGAGCCACUGCACCCGGCCAAUAAUGGUUAUUUCUAGCUAGAUACUACUGUCACGUUUCAAGAUGGCUCACUUAAACCUGUACUUCUGGCAGGAAAGAGACCCAAACCCAUGAAGAAUGAGAUACGUGUACAGUUUUGAUUAUAAAACCAAAGAAUAAUGGCUUCACAAGAUGACGGCUGGGCUCCUGGGCUGCCUUCAGUGUCUUUAAACAGGUAAUACAGAUCUUGCUUUCUUCUCUCUCUCUCUCUCACAGAGAGAUCUUGACUGAGACAGACACACCCCAAGUGUGCAGCAUUUGAGGCGCUCCGAGACCCUCAUGAGCUUGGGUCCUCCAUGGCUGCCUCGCCACUAUAUGAGGAAGCUUCGGGAUGUGUGAAGGCAGACCCGACUUCAGGACCUCAUUCAGAGCGAGAGCCUGGGAACACUGGUGUGAGGCAGCACCGUGCCCUCGCCGUGCACCCAGGGGGUUUUGUGAGACGAGAGAUAGAGUCUUGCUAUGUUGUCCAGGCUGGCACUGAACUCUUGGGCUCCAACGAUCCUCCUGCCCCGGCCUCCUGAGUAGCUGGGAUUAUAGGCACAAGUCACCAUGCCCAGCCGGAAUAAUCUGAAGGAAAGAUGGGUAUAUUCAAGAUGACUUUGCUGCUGGAAAUAUGACAGAAUAAUGUGGUAUCUUCCUCUGCACUUCCAAGCUCUUUCACACUCAGGCUCCUCCUGGCUUUUCUGCCUCAGACACCAUAAACUGUGGUUGCUUCUCCAGCUCUGUUACAGUUCAGACUUGAGGGGAGGUGACAAGAGCUAACAUGUUACCAUGGGGAGCCUGGCUGACAUUUCCGAAACUGAAGACUCUAUGGAAGCCUCAUGCUAUUGCAAUGUGUACAUCAAAAGUAAAGUACCCCAGGUUAAAACUAUGAGGAAGUUGCCAUCUUUACUUCCAGGAGCAAAGACACUGAAACUGUCCCCUGUAAGCCCCUUAAUUUCAUACAGUCCUCUGACUGCCCCCCCCCCCCAACCCUGGCUACUUUUUUUUGAAAUAAGGUCUCACUCUGUCAUCCAGGCUGGAGUGCAGUGGCAAAAUCACAAUACCCUGCAGCCUUGACCUCAUGGGCUCAAGCAGUCCUCCCACUUCAGCCUCCUGGGUAGCUGGGACUACAGGCUUGCACUACCACACCCAGCUUAUUUUUUGUAGAGACAGAGUUUCGUCAUGUUGCCCAGGCUGGUCUCAGGAGUCACUCCUGAGCUCAAGUGAUCCGCCUGCCUUGGCCUCCCAAAGUGCUGGGAUUACAGGCGUGAGCCACUAUGUCUGGUCCUCUGACCCUUUUAGCAGGAAAUCCAGCCCAGCCCCUGAACGGCAUGUUAGACAGUUCAACAAAGCCUUCUAGAAGACCAAAGAAGACUCAUAGGAAUAAGCCUCUUGCUGAUUAAUGGAAACAUGACCAUUUGUGGAGAAAGUGCAAUCUGCAUUGAACACCUUUAGGGGAACCUGUCAUUUAAGACUUCAAGCAUUACCAUGAAAACUUCCUCUGAAAAACCUUACAGACAUCUCUGUAAAACAGAUUUAAAAAGAAACACAUUUCUGCUCAAUUGGUACACAUCAAAUGGUGAUUUAAGAGCAAGGCUAGGAAACCAGAAGAUGAUAUGCAUAUACAUAAAGUUGCCACUAUUCCAAAUAGUAAAAUAAAGACAAAGUCAAUGGUCCUAGAAGAGCUGGUGGGUUGUGGAGCCAGGAGAGAAAGGCAGCUCCCUUCACCUUCCCUGUACAUUCCAGGAGGCCCUAGAAUGACCUAGAUGGUGUUACGCACAAAGCCCUCCUUUUCCCAUCCCGCCAUCAUCUCAGGAGCAAAUGGCCACACUCGGGUAUACGGAGCAGCUCAAGCAACCAGGUCUUCCCGCCAUUCCCCUGAAAGGGCUGGUUUUGCCAAACGCCAGAGCCACAUUG